GGCCUCAGCUGCCCAGAACUCGCCCCUGGCUGCUCGUUCACAGCCCCGGCGCCUUCAGGCGGCUGCACUCGGCGAUUCUCCGAGCGAAUUGUUCGCCGAGAAUUGCUCCGUGCCAGCGAGUCCUGAACUCGCUAAGCAUUGGUCUCUGCGGCGGAUUCCUGAAUUCCGGUUGAAGUUUUGUUGAGGCAUUGUUGCUCACCUGGGAUAUCCUCCUUCCAAAAUGGCUUCUGGAUUCCCAGAAAAGACACUGGCACCUCAUCUUCUGCGCAGGGAAAGACUGAAGCCUGACACUCAAUUCCUUCUGUCAGGCUGGACACUCAUCUGUGCUGCUCUGACCAACCUGCCCUUGGG
RNAcentral lists this long non-coding RNA (351 nucleotides) under Taeniopygia guttata (zebra finch). Its description in RNAcentral is "lncRNA (ENSTGUG00000022454.1)". The record is from RNAcentral. Lineage: Eukaryota; Metazoa; Chordata; Aves; Passeriformes; Estrildidae.